Molecule: ribosomal RNA, 761 nt
Filed under: Streptomyces sp.
Lineage: Bacteria; Bacillati; Actinomycetota; Actinomycetes; Kitasatosporales; Streptomycetaceae
Description: bacterial SSU rRNA
Rfam family: Bacterial small subunit ribosomal RNA
Source: RNAcentral
UGAAGCCCUUCGGGGUGGAUUAGUGGCGAACGGGUGAGUAACACGUGGGCAAUCUGCCCUUCACUCUGGGACAAGCCCUGGAAACGGGGUCUAAUACCGGAUACGACGCGCUCGGGCAUCCGAUGUGCGUGGAAAGCUCCGGCGGUGAAGGAUGAGCCCGCGGCCUAUCAGCUUGUUGGUGAGGUAACGGCUCACCAAGGCGACGACGGGUAGCCGGCCUGAGAGGGCGACCGGCCACACUGGGACUGAGACACGGCCCAGACUCCUACGGGAGGCAGCAGUGGGGAAUAUUGCACAAUGGGCGAAAGCCUGAUGCAGCGACGCCGCGUGAGGGAUGACGGCCUUCGGGUUGUAAACCUCUUUCAGCAGGGAAGAAGCGAAAGUGACGGUACCUGCAGAAGAAGCGCCGGCUAACUACGUGCCAGCAGCCGCGGUAAUACGUAGGGCGCGAGCGUUGUCCGGAAUUAUUGGGCGUAAAGAGCUCGUAGGCGGUCUGUCGCGUCGGAUGUGAAAGCCCGGGGCUUAACCCCGGGUCUGCAUUCGAUACGGGCAGACUAGAGUGUGGUAGGGGAGAUCGGAAUUCCUGGUGUAGCGGUGAAAUGCGCAGAUAUCAGGAGGAACACCGGUGGCGAAGGCGGAUCUCUGGGCCAUUACUGACGCUGAGGAGCGAAAGCGUGGGGAGCGAACAGGAUUAGAUACCCUGGUAGUCCACGCCGUAAACGGUGGGAACUAGGUGUUGGCGACAUUCCACGUCGUCGGUG